RNAcentral lists this ribosomal RNA (720 nucleotides) under Fusarium oxysporum. RNAcentral describes it as "SSU rRNA". It matches the Rfam family "Eukaryotic small subunit ribosomal RNA", at positions 133 to 862 of the family's 1831-position model. The record is from RNAcentral. Lineage: Eukaryota; Fungi; Ascomycota; Sordariomycetes; Hypocreales; Nectriaceae.
UACUACUUGGAUAACCGUGGUAAUUCUAGAGCUAAUACAUGCUAAAAAUCCCGACUUCGGAAGGGAUGUAUUUAUUAGAUUAAAAACCAAUGCCCUUCGGGGCUCACUGGUGAUUCAUGAUAACUCCUCGAAUCGCAUGGCCUUGUGCCGGCGAUGGUUCAUUCAAAUUUCUUCCCUAUCAACUUUCGAUGUUUGGGUAUUGGCCAAACAUGGUUGCAACGGGUAACGGAGGGUUAGGGCUCGACCCCGGAGAAGGAGCCUGAGAAACGGCUACUACAUCCAAGGAAGGCAGCAGGCGCGCAAAUUACCCAAUCCCGACACGGGGAGGUAGUGACAAUAAAUACUGAUACAGGGCUCUUUUGGGUCUUGUAAUUGGAAUGAGUACAAUUUAAAUCCCUUAACGAGGAACAAUUGGAGGGCAAGUCUGGUGCCAGCAGCCGCGGUAAUUCCAGCUCCAAUAGCGUAUAUUAAAGUUGUUGUGGUUAAAAAGCUCGUAGUUGAACCUUGGGCCUGGCUGGCCGGUCCGCCUCACCGCGUGUACUGGUCCGGCCGGGCCUUUCCCUCUGUGGAACCCCAUGCCCUUCACUGGGUGUGGUGGGGAAACAGGACUUUUACUGUGAAAAAAUUAGAGUGCUCCAGGCAGGCCUAUGCUCGAAUACAUUAGCAUGGAAUAAUAGAAUAGGACGUGUGGUUCUAUUUUGUUGGUUUCUAGGACCGCCG